UAUGUUGUUGGUCAAACUUCCUUGAUGUUGUAGACUGUGAAAUUGAAAAAGCCUUGUUAAUAUGUUCUUUCUGAAACAAUCAUGAAACAACUGUAUUUGGAAAUAACUAACACCACCCAAUUAAUAAAACAG
Small nucleolar RNA from Candida albicans SC5314, 132 nucleotides. Lineage: Eukaryota; Fungi; Ascomycota; Pichiomycetes; Serinales; Debaryomycetaceae. The record is from RefSeq and is a predicted model, not a curated record.